GCCUCGAUGGAGCAGUAGGCAGCGCGUGAGUCUCAUAAAUCUCAAGGUCGUGAGUUCGAUCCUCACUCGGGGCA
Ciona savignyi (Pacific transparent sea squirt) is the source of this 74-nucleotide non-coding RNA. The record is from Rfam. Lineage: Eukaryota; Metazoa; Chordata; Ascidiacea; Phlebobranchia; Cionidae.